UACUUUUACAUUUUUGUCUGGAGCACAAAGGAAAUGAAUAUACGAUUACAAGUCAUGUAUAAACCAACAUGAUUACAAGUCUAAAUAUUGAGUGACAUCCUUCCUUCUAAAUAAAGUGAACUUAACAUUUUGUAGGACUAAAUGUUCCAAACUAAAACGUUGGAUAUGUUAUUUCUCUUCACUGUGUCAAUUUUAGGUCUUUUUCCUUUAUAUCAUAUGCAGGAUGGUCCUUGCCGUGAUAAUAGGAACCAUGGUUGUUGUUCAGGUACCUCCUGGAACGAUCAACUACAGAAAUGUACUGAUUGUGCUGCAGGAUAUAUUGGAAUCGAUUGUGGGGAAUCAUGUGAAUAUCCAUAUUACGGCCUACAUUGUACAAAUGUGUGCGAUUGUGCUGAAAGCAACUGUAAUGCUGCAAAUGGCUGUCAAGACACAGGUACAUGUCAGCAUUUUUAUUUUCCG
Molecule: long non-coding RNA, 459 nt
Organism: Saccostrea cuccullata (small rock oyster)
Lineage: Eukaryota; Metazoa; Mollusca; Bivalvia; Ostreida; Ostreidae
Exons: 3
Source: RefSeq, a predicted model, not a curated record